UACGUAGGGCGCAAGCGUUGUCCGGAAUUAUUGGGCGUAAAGAGCUCGUAGGCGGUCUGUUACGUCCGCUGUGAAAACCCAGGGCUUAACCCUGGGCUUGCAGUGGAUACGGGCAGACUAGAGGCAGGUAGGGGAGAAUGGAAUUCCCGGUGUAGCGGUGAAAUGCGCAGAUAUCGGGAGGAACACCGGUGGCGAAGGCGGCUUCCUGGCCUGUAACUGACGCUGAGACGCGAAAGCGUGGGGAGCGAACCGG
RNAcentral lists this ribosomal RNA (253 nucleotides) under uncultured bacterium. RNAcentral's name for it is "partial 16S ribosomal RNA". It matches the Rfam family "Bacterial small subunit ribosomal RNA", at positions 524 to 776 of the family's 1533-position model. The record is from RNAcentral.